CCUUUUCUAGUCAGUGAUCGAAAUAUUGCGCCAAUAUGUCUUUGGAAUACUCCUGGGGAAUUCGACAAACCAAAUGGGACCUUGCGAAACUGGUAUUGUCCGCUUUGCGUCACAAAUGAGGUGUACUUCCUACUCUCUUCGGCCACAGGAACAUGGAAAAACCCAUUUUUCAAGUCAAUCGUACUGAAUACUAAAGCGUCCUGCAAACGAUCUAGCUGGUCAUCUAUCAACGGCAAUGGGAAAUGAUCUUUUUCGAUGACUUUAUUGAUGCGUCUGAAGUCAAUACAUAGACGUUGCUUGCCGUCAUUCUUUUUUACUAGUACAACCGGAAUCGUGAACUCGGAUUCUGAUUCUUCAAUUACCUCAUUCUGCAGCCAUUCAUCAACCUGGUCUUCUAUGAUACGUGUUUCAGUCAUAGCAAACCGCCGCGGCCGCGAGAAAAUUGGCGUUUCGUCUUUAAGAAUUAUUUUCAUUUCAAUAUUUGUUGUUUUUGAUUUUUCCGGUUUACUAUUUCGCGAACUUUUUUUCGUGUAAUCUCGUUUAUCGCUUCGUUUAUAUUCAGUUCAGAAUUGUCCACCGCUACGUCGAUUUUCAUUAUGGACGCUUCGUCAUACGCACCUUCGUUAUUUUCAUUUGGCAUUUAAUUAACUUUUACUCCAUGGCGAUUAAAUGAUACUUCUGCGUGCAAACAAAGCUCUUCCCCGAUUAUCAGCUUAAUAUCCAUGAACUUAGCAGCAACAACAUAAAAUGUCAAAACAUAUUCUUCGUCGUCAAUACGUAUGCUAUGUUCUACUUGACCAAUCGGCUUGAUAUUGUCAGCCUUGCUUUCACUUCCGAAACC
Molecule: long non-coding RNA, 841 nt
Filed under: Drosophila guanche
Lineage: Eukaryota; Metazoa; Arthropoda; Insecta; Diptera; Drosophilidae
Source: RNAcentral